GCCAAAAUGGGAUAGUGGUUUGAGUGUUGGACUAUGACUCUGGAGACCAGGCUCAAUUCCCAUUUUGGCC
Molecule: non-coding RNA, 70 nt
Organism: Phrynosoma platyrhinos (Desert horned lizard)
Lineage: Eukaryota; Metazoa; Chordata; Lepidosauria; Squamata; Phrynosomatidae
Source: the annotation of a GenBank genome assembly